This 67-nucleotide transfer RNA is filed under the name Oxidus gracilis. RNAcentral describes it as "tRNA-Thr". It matches the Rfam family "tRNA". Rfam says of the family: Transfer RNA (tRNA) molecules are approximately 80 nucleotides in length. Their secondary structure includes four short double-helical elements and three loops (D, anti-codon, and T loops). Further hydrogen bonds mediate the characteristic L-shaped molecular structure. tRNAs have two regions of fundamental functional importance: the anti-codon, which is responsible for specific mRNA codon recognition, and the 3' end, to which the tRNAs corresponding amino acid is attached (by aminoacyl-tRNA synthetases). tRNAs cope with the degeneracy of the genetic code in two manners: having more than one tRNA (with a specific anti-codon) for a particular amino acid; and 'wobble' base-pairing, i.e. permitting non-standard base-pairing at the 3rd anti-codon position. Lineage: Eukaryota; Metazoa; Arthropoda; Diplopoda; Polydesmida; Paradoxosomatidae. RNAcentral also lists the same sequence under 1 other name. The record is from RNAcentral.
GUCUGGGUAGUUUAGAGGAAAAUAUUAAUUUUGUAAAUUAAAGAGUGGGUGUUAUGCCGCCCAGCCA